GCUCAGAGUGAACGCUGGCGGUAGGCCUAACACAUGCAAGUCGAACGGCAGCACAGUAAGAGCUUGCUCUUAUGGGUGGCGAGUGGCGGACGGGUGAGGAAUACAUCGGAAUCUACUUUUUCGUGGGGGAUAACGUAGGGAAACUUACGCUAAUACCGCAUACGACCUACGGGUGAAAGCAGGGGAUCUUCGGACCUUGCGCGAUUGAAUGAGCCGAUGUCGGAUUAGCUAGUUGGCGGGGUAAAGGCCCACCAAGGCGACGAUCCGUAGCUGGUCUGAGAGGAUGAUCAGCCACACUGGAACUGAGACACGGUCCAGACUCCUACGGGAGGCAGCAGUGGGGAAUAUUGGACAAUGGGCGCAAGCCUGAUCCAGCCAUACCGCGUGGGUGAAGAAGGCCUUCGGGUUGUAAAGCCCUUUUGUUGGGAAAGAAAUCCAGCCGGCUAAUACCUGGUUGGGAUGACGGUACCCAAAGAAUAAGCACCGGCUAACUUCGUGCCAGCAGCCGCGGUAAUACGAAGGGUGCAAGCGUUACUCGGAAUUACUGGGCGUAAAGCGUGCGUAGGUGGUUGUUUAAGUCUGUUGUGAAAGCCCUGGGCUCAACCUGGGAACUGCAGUGGAAACUGGGCAACUAGAGUGUGGUAGAGGGUAGCGGAAUUCCCGGUGUAGCAGUGAAAUGCGUAGAGAUCGGGAGGAACAUCCAUGGCGAAGGCAGCUACCNGGAC
Molecule: ribosomal RNA, 725 nt
Filed under: Stenotrophomonas chelatiphaga
Lineage: Bacteria; Pseudomonadati; Pseudomonadota; Gammaproteobacteria; Lysobacterales; Lysobacteraceae
Description: bacterial SSU rRNA
Rfam family: Bacterial small subunit ribosomal RNA
Source: RNAcentral